CAGUUAAAAAGCUCGUAGUUGGAUUUCGGAGUGGGCCAGUUGGUCCGCCGCAAGGUGUGUUACUGACUGGUUUGCUCUUCUUCGCAAAGACUGCGUGUGCUCUUUAUUGAGUGUGCGUAGGAUUUACGACGUUUACUUUGAAAAAAUUAGAGUGUUCAAAGCAGGCUAUUGCUUGAAUACAUGAGCAUGGAAUAAUGGAAUAGGAUUUUGGUCCCAUUUUGUUGGUUUCUAGGACCGAAGUAAUGAUUAAGAGGGACAAUUGGGGGCAUCCGUAUUUCGUUGUCAGAGGUGAAAUUCUUGGAUUUACGAAAGACGAACAACUGCGAAAGCACUUGCCAAGAGUGUUUUCAUUAAUCAAGAACGAAAGUUAGAGGAUCGAAGACGAUCAGAUACCGUCCUAGUUCUAACCAUAAACGAUGUCGACUAGGGAUCAGCGGGCGUUAUCGUACGACCCCGUUGGCACCUUACGGGAAACCAAAGUUUCUGGAUUCCGGGGGAAGUAUAGUCGCAAGUCCGAAACUUAAAGGAAUUGACGGAAGGGCACCACCAGGAGUGGAGCCUGUGGCUCAAUUUGACUCAACACGGGGAAACUUACCAGGUCCAGACAUAGUAAGGAUUGACAGGUUGAGAGCCCUUUCUUGAUUCUAUGGGGUGGUGGUGC
This 661-nucleotide ribosomal RNA is filed under the name uncultured marine eukaryote. RNAcentral's name for it is "SSU rRNA". It matches the Rfam family "Eukaryotic small subunit ribosomal RNA", at positions 616 to 1283 of the family's 1831-position model. The record is from RNAcentral.